UGGGGAAUAUUGGACAAUGGGCGAAAGCCUGAUCCAGCCAUGCCGCGUGUGUGAAGAAGGUCUUCGGAUUGUAAAGCACUUUAAGUUGGGAGGAAGGGCAGUAACCUAAUACGUUGCUGUCUUGACGUUACCGACAGAAUAAGCACCGGCUAACUCUGUGCCAGCAGCCGCGGUAAUACAGAGGGUGCAAGCGUUAAUCGGAAUUACUGGGCGUAAAGCGCGCGUAGGUGGUUUGUUAAGUUGGAUGUGAAAUCCCCGGGCUCAACCUGGGAACUGCAUUCAAAACUGACAAGCUAGAGUAUGGUAGAGGGUGGUGGAAUUUCCUGUGUAGCGGUGAAAUGCGUAGAUAUAGGAAGGAACACCAGUGGCGAAGGUGACCACUGGACUGAUACUGACACUGAGGUGCGAAAGCGUGGGGAGCAAACAGGAUUAGAUACCCGUGUAGUCCCUGAGCGGGCUGGCAAGGCGCAU
RNAcentral lists this ribosomal RNA (471 nucleotides) under uncultured bacterium. Its description in RNAcentral is "bacterial SSU rRNA". It matches the Rfam family "Bacterial small subunit ribosomal RNA", at positions 355 to 825 of the family's 1533-position model. The record is from RNAcentral.